Molecule: transfer RNA, 71 nt
Filed under: Toxocara canis (dog roundworm)
Lineage: Eukaryota; Metazoa; Nematoda; Chromadorea; Rhabditida; Toxocaridae
Rfam family: tRNA
About the family: Transfer RNA (tRNA) molecules are approximately 80 nucleotides in length. Their secondary structure includes four short double-helical elements and three loops (D, anti-codon, and T loops).
Source: Rfam by way of RNAcentral
GCGGCAGUAGCGCAGUGGUAGAGCCCCGCUUCGCAUGCGGGGAGACCUGGGUUCGAUUCCCGGCUGCUUCC